This is a long non-coding RNA of Suricata suricatta (meerkat), 530 nucleotides long. RefSeq lists it as uncharacterized. The record is from RefSeq and is a predicted model, not a curated record. The transcript has 2 exons. NCBI's taxonomy places the organism in Eukaryota, Metazoa, Chordata, Mammalia, Carnivora, Herpestidae.
CCCGGCCCAACGUGGCUGCUCGGUUAACGGCUGUGGAACCAACGCGUACCCCUGGAACCGGGUGCUGGCGAUGACAGCAGCCGCCGGUCCACAGGGCAUACUUUGGAUUUUGACCUUCCAGCGGUUUUAAGCCGCGCGGUUCCGGGGGCAGCGCGCACCGCGCCGGCCCUUCGCUCACCGAGGAGGGGGAGGCCACGGGGCACCUUCGGGUGAGCUGGGCCUGGGACCCGCCCCUUCGCCGCCCGGGUUCGGUGCGGGGGGCCUCAAGGUCCUCCGAGGCCCCGGACGCUGCCGUGGGUGCUCCUCCUCCAACGCAUCCCACCCCUUUUCUCACCUGAGACCUGUGUCCGCGACCAAGGCCAUGGCUCCCUGCGCACCCUGGACCCCCAUCCCUUCUCAGGGAUUAUCACUUCUGAAUUCUGACUCCCAGAUGCUCGCCCUCUCCCUCCUUGACCCUUCCCAGCGGUUUCCAACCUGCCCCAAUGCAUCCCUUCUUUAAAAAGAAAGAAAACCCUGCCACCGUGUCUGCC